AUGGAAGACCUGUGGAUAUCCCAAAACCCCAAAACAUCCACCUGCUCUGCUGUGCUGGCCAGGAAUUAUAGGACAGCUUGGAUUGGAAAGGACCUUAAAGAUAUUCCAGUUCCAAUUCCCUGCAUCCCAGAAGUUGGAGCAAACGGAUUGGAAUCGGAGGAAGGAAGGAAAGAUUGGAGUUCUCCAAAUAGGAUUGGCCUCCUGUCCUCCCUGCUGGCCCCUGCCAUUCCAGCCCCUCCCGUGCCAUCCCGGCGUGUGCUGCGGAAUCCAGCCUGCUCCUGCUACAAAGGAAAUAUCUAAAGCCAGCCAGAGCAUGUCCAAUAGGAUUUGUGGUUCUUCCAACCUCCCCAUGUUAUUGACUCCCCCUUUCAAGUGUGGCCAGGGCUUUAUCUGCUGGUAAUAGGGAGAAUUAAUCAUUUCCUUUAAAAGAAAAAAAAAAAAAAAAAAUCGGCUUAAAAACCCCUCCACCUUUUUAUUUAUUUUUUUACAUAAAAAGGCAAGUAAAAGACAUAACAAAGUUGUUAAAAGUUCAAAGGGAAUGCUAAUCCCUGUAAUGUGGACUAAUCAACUUUUAUCCAGACAAUCCCCUUGUAUCUCUGGGGCCUUAUGUGGUGCAGCAAUCCCACAGGCAAGUGCUGGGCUUUAACUCCUUUGGAGCUGCUUUCAAGAUUCCUGUCCCUCUUCCCGGAGCUGUGCUGCCGUGCUAUCAUUCAGGAACAGCCUGGCACCUUCCUGGACUCAGAACAGCUUCAAAGGUGCUGCAACUUCCCUGGCGAAGCUUUCAAAGAGCUGUGGAAACAAAAAAGUUCUUUUCCCUUGGAGGGCUGAACCAUCCCAGGGUGAAUAAAUGAGCGGGGCUGCUCCA
RNAcentral lists this long non-coding RNA (865 nucleotides) under Cyanistes caeruleus (blue tit). Its description in RNAcentral is "lncRNA (ENSCCEG00000020429.1)". Lineage: Eukaryota; Metazoa; Chordata; Aves; Passeriformes; Paridae. The record is from RNAcentral.